This 508-nucleotide long non-coding RNA is filed under the name Setaria viridis. RNAcentral describes it as "long non-coding RNA (SVIR_LNC005210)". Lineage: Eukaryota; Viridiplantae; Streptophyta; Magnoliopsida; Poales; Poaceae. The record is from RNAcentral.
GAGAGGGAGGGAGGGAGAGGGAGAGGGAGAGAAUUAGAGUACAUGAAAAUUAGAAGAAAAAUAAUAAUAGCUUGCAGCCUUGAACCCAAAAGAAAAACUAAUAGGAGGAGGAGCGCAAAAUAAAAGGAACAUAGAAAAGAACAUUGAAGGAUAUAUCGGGGAUAUGAAUUUUUUUUCUCCUUUUUCUUCUUUUGGAAAAUGGAGGAAGAUGAAUUAAGAAAUUGUGAAAAAGAAAGAUACAUUUUUCUUCUUUUGAAGAAGUAUUAGGAUGAAAACUAGAGAGAUGUCUAUUUGUGAUGUUGUGGGUCGGUAGUUGUGAUGAACCAACGAACCGAAUAAGGAGAAAAUACAUACACAUUAACGGAAGUGUUUGAUCCAAAAAUUUCAAAAGAUCAAAUCCAGAAAACUUUACGCAUUUAGUAGCUAAGAUAAAAGAUAUUAUUUUCUAGAUCCCUGAUGAGCGCUUGUGUAAAGGUUUAUAUCAUGUGGUUUGAGAGGCUGAUAAUGA